This 72-nucleotide transfer RNA is filed under the name Nocardioides sp. Its description in RNAcentral is "tRNA-Val". It matches the Rfam family "tRNA". Rfam says of the family: Transfer RNA (tRNA) molecules are approximately 80 nucleotides in length. Lineage: Bacteria; Bacillati; Actinomycetota; Actinomycetes; Propionibacteriales; Nocardioidaceae. The record is from RNAcentral. RNAcentral also lists the same sequence under 8 other names.
GGGCGUAUAGCUCAGCGGUAGAGCACCUCCCUUACAAGGAGGUGGUCGCAGGUUCGAUCCCUGCUGCGCCCA